CCCUUCCCUCUAUCACACCAAUAGUUCUUUUAUUAAAAAUCCCACCUACAUUAGACCAAAAGCCACUCCUAGUUAUGUUAAAAGAUCUAUUUUUAGAGCCUAAUGUAACCUCUGAUCAGAAAGCCCAAAUUGUAAGUGUACAAAAAGAAUAUGAAGAAGUUGUUAGAGGGACAAUUACCGACCCAACAAUGGACUAUCCAAACCCAGUGCUACCUUAAGAACCAAGUCCCGAAAACCCUACUGAGGAUCCUUUACACAAAUUUCUAAACUGCACAGGCAUAGAUAAUGUAGAGAGGCUGAGCGAUCUGUUAGACCCACCAUGUGUUGCCCAACUAUGCAACCCAAGAGAAGGGGGGGGGGGGUAAAUUGGGUUUUUAAAAAUUUAACGCUAAUUUAGAACUAUGAGGAUUAAAUAACAGUGAGCAGAAUAUAUGUAGAGAGUGAUUUAAGUAAGAUGUAAAAAUUAGAUGCAAGAAUGAAAGUAGAUAAAAAAAUUUAGAAAG
This 503-nucleotide long non-coding RNA is filed under the name Elaeis guineensis (African oil palm). RNAcentral's name for it is "long non-coding RNA (EGUI_LNC035549)". Lineage: Eukaryota; Viridiplantae; Streptophyta; Magnoliopsida; Arecales; Arecaceae. The record is from RNAcentral.